Molecule: long non-coding RNA, 4372 nt
Organism: Hipposideros armiger (great roundleaf bat)
Lineage: Eukaryota; Metazoa; Chordata; Mammalia; Chiroptera; Hipposideridae
Exons: 2
Source: RefSeq, a predicted model, not a curated record
UGUCCAACAUCAAACAUUUCAAAGCUCAGAAACGAGCCUAUUAAAUUCCCUCAUGUGGCUGGUGACGGCCACACGGCCUCGUCUCCGUGUUUCUCAGGUCCUCCAGGAUGGCUCACGGACGUGCCUGCCCCGGCUCUUCCCACUCCUGCUCCAGUCCUAAUCAGUAGCCUCACUUCUGGCCCAAAGGCGCUUGGAACAGAGCAUCCUCCCUGAGCCCACAUUCACCACUGUCCCUCCAUGUCACCUCUGAGUCCCCACUGCCCGGCACAUGGCUGGAACACAGCGGCUGGUCGGCGUCUGAGCUGGGACCUGAGCGACGACAGGACUGCCUGGCCACCAGUACGUGCUGACAGCCCCGGGCUGGGUGUCCCUGUGGGUCUCAGUGUUCUGGGCCUGCAUCCUGGCCCGUUGCUUCCUCUGCCCAGGCUGGUCCUGCUGUCCUCCCAUCUUUCUCGCUCCGGCUUCCUUGCAGCUGAUGGUCAACAAGGCUGCAUGAGCCACAUCAGGCUGAUUCACCUGGGUCCUGGUCCACCUCGCCUUUCACACUUGACCUUGUCUCUGGUUCUUCCUAACGGCUCCGUUUAAGACCACAUCUCGAGGUCAGGACUGUGGAAAUGGGCUUCCAGGAGGAGGACUGACUUCCUCCGAGGCCCAGGUCCAGCCGCCCCCGCAUGACCGGAGGACCUGUGGUGAAAGCCUCCAGGGUGGACACGGAUGCUGCCUGUCCUCUGGACACAGUGCCACUGGCCCAGCAGAGUCCCCACCAGUGGUGCCCUGCACCCCAUGCCCCCCAGUCCCGGGGGCCUUACUCCCAGCCAUCCACAGAAGGAUGUGCUGCAGGAUAACCCCAAGAGUCACCGCUUAGGUAGGUCAGGAGAAGCGUGGGGCCUGGGGGCCCUCAGGGUGCUACGGCCCAAGCACGGCCAUCCUCUGCACAGGCCAUCCUCUGCACAUGUGCAAACUCUUUGCACCACAUUUGGGAGCUCGUCACCCCCAACCAACAAUAGGACGUGGAAAUUCCUUGAACAGAUGUCCCAGAGUGAAGCUAGUCAUUGCUCAGACACAAGGUAAGUGCAGCAAAACCCCCACUGUAAUGAACUUGAGGGGACACCAGGGUGUGUCAGCAGGGACAGGUGUGCCCAUGGGAAGAAGCACCCAGGGGGACGGGCGGCUCGCAUACUUGAGGCUGGCUUCUUGGGAUGACAGCGCUAUCGUCCUGGAAGCCGCUCCUCGCCACUCUUCUUAGAGGCAUGAGAAGAGGGGCUGGCGUGGGUCCUGGACGAGUCAGACACCUGGCCUGCUGUGCUGCUCGAGGACUUGAGGCACGUGACAUCCUCUGUCUGCACCUCCGUUUCCCCAUCUGCAAAAUGAGAAGGUUGGAAUAUAUCUAAUUUGGCACUGGAAGGUAGAAAUAAUUUCUAAAGCCAAACGAUCAUGUGUGUUUAGAAUCCUUGCCUGCUGCUGACCAGCCCAGGAUGGUGUCAGAGCCUGGACGGCAACUGCAGCCUUUGCUCGAGGGUCUCGGAUGCCAGAUGGAGCCUUGUAUUCAUCCUGCUGAGGCUCUCGCCAGCAUCUCUUGUGUGCAUGUGUGCUGCAGCAGGCCGUUUCCCAGUGAGCUUCUCACACCUCACCUGCUACUCGCAGUGGCAGAUGCGUAUUCUUCCCCAUAAAAGCAAUCCAGACGUCAGUGUCAGGACUGGCGUGAGGGUUCCCAGAGUCGUCAGGGACCUUCUGUUUUCCAUCCCACCAUCCUCAGUCACACAGCACAUUCCGAGAGGAGAAAGAGCAAGGGGCAAACCCCUUUGGGGAGAUUUCCCUGACAGCUGACUCCGUGAGUUCUGCCAGCAGCCCAUUGUGCAAGCCUAGCUGCAGAGGGAGGCUUGGAAAAGAGAAUUUUCACUGGGCACAUGGUUGCCCCGCAUGAAAAUGGGGCUCACUUCAGGAGGAGGCGAGGACUGAUGUUGAGUGGGCAGACAGCUCCCCGUGCCAGGCCUCCCCAGGAACUGCCGCUGCCCUGCUGUGACCACGGCCCAUGUGCACUUCUACGCCGUCUUCAGACACGCUCCUUCCUUGGCCUAACACAGGCCGACCGGCUCCGGGACGCCCAGAACCCAGCUCCCCAGCUUUCCCAUCUACCAGGGAUCAGACUUCAUCCCAACUUCACCCUAAACGCCUGUCCGGACCCUGGCUGACGUCCACCGUGAACGGUCUGAGUCCUGCUCUGCUGACAGCUCCUGGCCUGGCAUCUUUGCUGCCCAUCCACCUGACUCAGCCCUGGCCCUGCCCUCCCGGACCUCGACCUGAGUCCCAUUUCAAGGACUCCAUGCAGACCACAGGCUCUUCUCAGCAAACUGUUUUCACUGUGCAGGGAGCCUGAUUCUUUUUACUUAACAUAAAAUUAGGACAUACUACAGACAAUUUGGAAACACAAGUAGACGAGUAUAAGAAGAGGACACCUACUUACACUCCCUCCCGGUGCUCAGAUGAACGCUGUUAAUAUUAGAAACUACUCAUGUGGGAACUCCGUGUUGGCUUUUGGGAGCUCGGAGGAGUAUGUGGAUGCUGCUGGACGUCAUGUGGACACUGGCUACCCACCACCCCGAGUCACCCAGCAAGACCACCAGGCGAGGCUGCAGAUGAGCCCCAGAGGGGCCCAGCCUGCACUGCAGAGUCGCAGAAAUGCUAGAAAUUGCAAUACACCUGGUUGUGCCUUUAAGCCACUACAGUUUGGGGUGGUUUGUUACUUAGUAACAGAUAACUGAGUUCUGCAACUUGCACGUUCAGUUUUAACAUUAGACCGUAUUCCUGUGUAAUUACGUUGUGGUGAAAAGUGAGUUCUGGAUUUUAAUUUCAACUUCUCCACACAUUAGCUGUGACUUGGGGCACUCUAUAAAACGGACUUGAUAAAAACCUCAUAGAUUUUGGGGAAAAUAAAUGCGUUGAUAGAGGCAACCCUCAGUGUCCGAAACAUAGAUCAACAUCAAACAGAUUUGUAUUUCACCAAAUCAUUUCUUGAUGGCCACGAUGUGUCACCAUGGCCUGUCACCGUGUGCGUCUGUCAUGAGUCAGCCGUCUCCUGCUGUUGGGCAUUGAUGCUGUUUCCAGGUCUUUCACUGCUAGAGAGCACUGAGAACGAAGCCUCUUGUUUCCACUCUUCACAGGAGGAGACAGCGAGGCUGAGAAGGACUGAGCCGCUCGCUCAAGGUCACACAGUGGAGCUGAGGCUGCACACCUGGACCGUCACUGAAGGGCCUGCUUGCUGCCAGGCCCAGCUCGAGCGCCCGUGGAGGUGUGGCCGCCUCUGGCAUCACAGCACAACCGUCUCCCUGAAGACCAGCCAUCCUUGGCAAGGAGAGGCCUUCUGACAUGCUGAGGUUUGUAGGAGGGUGAACGCUCGCAGCCUCUGCACGUGUCUGCCCAGCCCUCAGCCUCCUGUCAUGACUGUCACCCUCAGACUGGCAGGGGUUCUCCUGGGAGGAUGGACUGAUGGCAGACGGGGGAGGUGCUGGUAUACAGACUCGACUUGGCUGGACGGUGGCUUCCAAUGGCCCCUACUGGCAUUUUAGGCCUGUCUGUGCUCAACUGCAGGCCCAAAGGCAGGUCACUCAGCUCUCUGAGCCUCACUUUCCCCGUCUGUGCAAUCGUGGCAUUUAUCCCUCCUCCCCUCCCCCAAGUCCCUCCAUUGUGAGGAUUAAGGGAAAUAAUGUGUGUCAAGUGCCCGACCCGAGUGCUCAGGACCAGUAAUUAUCCGCGCCUUCUUGACACUGGCAGGGAAGCGCUAAGGCAGGUGGCGGUGAUUUUUCAUCAUCCUGGCCUGGAGAAAGUAUGGCCCUGGGAACGGAGGAACAUUUGGAUCGGAAAACUGAACUUCUCCUGGUGCUCUCUGAGGUGUCAGGAAAGAUGAAAAUAAAAAGUAAAAAUUAUUUCUCCAAAUGGGACUUGGUGGGUGCCAAGUCAUCAGCAGGUGGAGCGCUGCCUUCUCGUGCACUUACUGCCCGUUAUGAGUCCGCUCACCACGUCCACUCACCUGCUGCACGUGGCGCUCAGUGUCACGGCCGCGGAGGGCAGGGGGCAGGAGGAGGCAUGUCCGUGGUGGUCGCCAGCGGGGCCCCACGGCUCUGUCCAGCCUCCUCUGCCACUCUCAGGUGACGCCCAGCCGCUGCUUGGAGUCGUUUCAUCUUCACAAGCCUGGACAGCCUCAAAGACGGUGACGUGUCCAGUCUCCGUUCCCUCGGAAAUGAAUUCAGGUUGACAGACUAUCAUUUUGAUAACUUUUCAUCCCAUUUCUUCCUUUUUGACUCCUUCCUGACAUUUCCUUGGCAUGGGGCUUACUCAUGAAAUUCAGGUGCCAAUAAAAGGCAGUUUUAACAAA